RNAcentral lists this ribosomal RNA (499 nucleotides) under uncultured bacterium. RNAcentral describes it as "bacterial SSU rRNA". It matches the Rfam family "Bacterial small subunit ribosomal RNA", at positions 406 to 896 of the family's 1533-position model. The record is from RNAcentral.
GGAAGACGGCCUUCGGGUUGUAAACCUCUUUCAGGAGGGACGAAGGUCCAACAGUUAAUAGCUGCUUGGAUUGACGGUACCUCCAGAAGAAGCUCCGGCUAACUACGUGCCAGCAGCCGCGGUAAUACGUAGGGAGCGAGCGUUGUCCGGAAUCAUUGGGCGUAAAGCGCGCGUAGGCUGCCCGAUAAGUCUGCUGUGAAAGUCAACGGCUCAACCGUUGAAAGCCGGUGGAUACUGUCGGGCUAGAGUGCGGAAGAGGCAAGUGGAAUUCCUGGUGUAGCGGUGGAAUGCGCAGAUAUCAGGAGGAACACCGAUGGCGAAGGCGGCUUGCUGGGAUUGUACUGACGCUGAGGCGCGAAAGCGUGGGGAGCAAACAGGAUUAGAUACCCUGGUAGUCCACGCCGUAAACGAUGAGAACUAGGUGUGGGAGGUGUCGACUCCUCCCGUGCCGUCGCUAACGCAUUAAGUUCUCCGCCUGGGGAGUACGGCCGCAAGGCUA